AAUAGAUACCCUGGUAGUCCACGCUGUAAACGGUGGGUACUAGGUGUGGGGUCCAUUCCACGGGUUCCGUGCCGUAGCUAACGCUUUAAGUACCCCGCCUGGGGAGUACGGCCCCAAGGCUAAAACUCAAAGGAAUUGACGGGGCCCCGCACAAGCGGCGGAGCAUGCGGAUUAAUUCGAUGCAACGCGUAGAACCUUACCUGGGUUUGACAUGGAUCGGGAGCGCUCAGAGGUGGGUGUGCCUCUUUUGGGGUCGGUUCACAGGUGGUGCAUGGCUGUCGUCAGCUCGUGUCGUGAGAUGUUAGGUUAAGUCCCGCAACGAGCGCAACCCUUGUUCACUGUUGCCAGCACGUUAUGGUGGGGACUCAGUGGAGACCGCCGGGGUCAACUCGGAGGAAGGUGGGGAUGACGUCAAGUCAUCAUGCCCCUUAUGUCCAGGGCUUCACGCAUGCUACAAUGGCUGGUACAGAGAGUGGCGAGCCUGUGAGGGUGAGCGAAUCUCGGAAAGCCGGUCUCAGUUCGGAUUGGGGU
Molecule: ribosomal RNA, 531 nt
Filed under: uncultured bacterium
Lineage: Bacteria
Description: bacterial SSU rRNA
Rfam family: Bacterial small subunit ribosomal RNA
Source: RNAcentral